Molecule: ribosomal RNA, 253 nt
Filed under: uncultured bacterium
Lineage: Bacteria
Description: partial 16S ribosomal RNA
Rfam family: Bacterial small subunit ribosomal RNA
Source: RNAcentral
UACGAAGGGUGCAAGCGUUACUCGGAAUUACUGGGCGUAAAGCGUGCGUAGGUGGUUUGUUAAGUCUGAUGUGAAAGCCCCGGGCUCAACCUGGGAAUGGCAUUGGAUACUGGCAGUCUAGAGUGCGGUAGAGGGUAGUGGAAUUCCCGGUGUAGCAGUGAAAUGCGUAGAUAUCGGGAGGAACAUCCGUGGCGAAGGCGACUACCUGGACCAGCACUGACACUGAGGCACGAAAGCGUGGGGAGCAAACAGG